Molecule: long non-coding RNA, 2106 nt
Filed under: Homo sapiens (human)
Lineage: Eukaryota; Metazoa; Chordata; Mammalia; Primates; Hominidae
Description: HSALNT0395999
Source: RNAcentral
GCCUAUCAGCGGCGAGUGGAGUAGCGACGGGCACCCAGCGAAGCCAAUCAGAGAUGGAAGUAGUGCUCUGAGGGUGGGCGCCGCUUGGUACCACCCUCCUCGCCCUCGGUGUCCUGGAGAAAGGCGGAAGGAAUGCGGACCUUUUUGAAGUGACGGACGCGCCAGCCUAUCAGGGGCGAGCUCAAGAGGGCGGGGCGGAAGACUGCAGGAAUGAAAUGGAUUGACAGACCAAAUAACUAAUGAGAGGCUUGAUUGAGAACCUACCCGACUAUCAGAGGACCUGUCCGGGAAGAGAAAUGGGGCUACGUCCAGACAGAAUCUCGCUCUGUUGCCUGGGCUGGAGUGCAGUGGCACUGUAUCCGGAAUUGGGGGGUUCUUGGUCUCACUGACUUCAAGAAUGAAGCCAUGGACCCUUGCGGUAAGUGUUCCAGCUCUUAAGGUGGCGCGUCUGGAGUUUGUUUCUUCUGAUGUUCAGGUGUGUUCAGCGUUUCUUCCUUCUGGUGGGUUCAUGGUUUCACUGGCUCAGGAGUGAAGCUGCAGACCUUCGCAGUGAGUGUUACAGCUCAUAAAAGCAGUGGGGACCCAAAGAGUGAGCAGUACAAGAUUUAUUGCAAAGAGCAAAAGAACAAAGCUUCCACAGUGUGGAAGGGGACCCAAGUGGGUUGCCACUGCUGGCUCGGGCAGCCUGCUUUUAUUCUCUUAUCUGGCCCCACCCACAUCCUGCUGAUUGGUAGAGCCCACUGGUCUGUUUUGACAGGGCGCUGAUUGGUGCGUUUACAAUUCCUGAGCUAGACACAAAGGUUCUCCACAUCCCCACCAGAUUAACUAGAUACAGAGUGUCAACACAAAGGUUCUCCAAGGCCCCACCACAGUAGCUAGAUACAGAGUGUCGAUUGGUGCAUUCACAAACCCUGAGCUAGACACAGGGUGCUGAUUGGUGUGUUUACAAACCUUGAGCUAGAUACAGAGUGCCGAUUGGUGUAUUUACAAUCCCUGAGCUAGACAUAAAGGUUCUCCAAGGCCCCACCAGAGUAGCUAGAUACAGAGUGUUCAUUGGUGCAUUCACAAACCCUGAGCUAGACAUAGGGUGAUGAUUGGUGUAUUUACAAUCCCUGAGCUAGACAAAGGUUCUCCACGUCCCCACCAGACUCAGGAGCCCAGCUAGCUUCACCCAGUGGAUCCUGCACCGGGGCUGCAGGUGGAGCUGCCUGCCAGUCCCACGCCGUGCGCCUGCACUCCUCAGCCCUUGGGUGGUGGAUGGGACUGGGCACCAUGGAGCAUGGGGCAGUGCUCGUCAGGGAGGCGCGGGCCGCACAGGAGCCCAUGGAGGGGGUGGGAGGCUCAGGCAUGGCGGGCUGCAGGUCCCGAUCCCUGCCCCGCGGGAAGGCAGCUAAGGCCUGGUGAGAAAUCAAGCGCAGCGCCGGUGCGCUGGCACUGCUGGGGGACCCAGUACACCCUCCGCAGCCGCUGUCCGGCCCGGGUGCUAAGCCCCUCAUUGCCCGGGGCCAGCAGGGCCGGACGGCUGCUCUGAGUGCAGGGUCCGCCAAGCCCACGCCCACCCGGAACUCCAGCUGGCCCACAAGCACCGCGCGCAGCCCCGAUUCCGGCUCGCGCCUCUCCCUCCACACUUCCCUGCAAGCUGAGGGAGCCAGCUCCGGCCUUGGCCAGCCCAGAAAGGGGCUCCCACAGUGCAGCGGUGGGCUGAAGGGCUCCUGAAGUGCCGCCACAGUGGGAGCCCAGGCAGAGGAGUCGCAGAGAGUGAGCGAGGGCUGUGAGGACUGCCAGCACGCUGUCACCUCUCAGCGCCAUCUCGGCUCACUGCAACCUCCACCUCCUGGGUUCAAGCAAUUCUCCGGCCUCAGCCUCCUGAGUAGCUGGGAUUAUAGAGAUGGGGGUUCCACCAUGUUGGCCCGGCUGGUCUCGAACUGCUGACCUCAAGUGACCUGCCUGUCUCGGCCUCACAAAUGGCUGGGAUUACAGGCACGAGACACCGUGCCUGGCCCUGGGAACAUGUUUACAUGGACUUUGUUCACUUUUUAAAACAAACUGAGGGUAACUUACUAGAUCUGUGAACUAAAGAAAGAGAAAAAAAAGAAAGAAAACAAA